This is a long non-coding RNA of Leopardus geoffroyi (Geoffroy's cat), 658 nucleotides long. RefSeq lists it as uncharacterized. Lineage: Eukaryota; Metazoa; Chordata; Mammalia; Carnivora; Felidae. The record is from RefSeq and is a predicted model, not a curated record. The transcript has 3 exons.
GUGAAGCUCACCAGAUGACCACACCCUGACCGUUGUCCAUCCAGUCCUCCCACACUACCCGAUGCAUUUAGCCAAUUUCCUGUUCAGAUGGCGAAGAACACUCUUAAGUCAACGGCACCCCUCCUCCCCCAAACACACACUCAUACACACAACAAUAAGACAAAACAUGCAAGAUGGAGCCUGGAUACUGGAAAGCAGCAUGACCAACUAUCCUAGUUUGUGUGGGAUUGAAGAAGUUCCUGAGACUUUCAGUUUUAAGAAGACCCAGAAGGCCAGCUUUGAAGAACACCUGGAGGAAAAGUGAAUCCCAUGUCAUCCCCAUAGUACAGAAGAUGCAGAAAUGGUGAAGGGAAUGGGUCAGGCCAUUUUGGAUUAACAGCACACUACCACGUAGAGAUUACUGUAAUGCAGUGUAUUCACCGAACACAGAAAGGAAGUCACCCUUGCCGUCUCAUGUCUGAGAUCAGUGGUUUCCUGACCUGUGGGGUCACAAGCCCCCAAGGAUCCUCAGGGUUGUUGCAGGGGACUCUUGAAUCCAUCUGCACAGCGAUAAUUGCCUCAAGUUUAAGCAAGCAACAUCAUCAAACAAACAGUGUUUUCUGUUAGAAAGUCUAAGUGACUAUAGCUUCCCAUUAAAUAUAAACUAAUUAAAAAUGUA